UGAUAGACCAUAUAUCAGGUUCCUCUUUCAAUCCUUACUUUUUAGGUCUCAAUUUGCUGUUAUGACAUGGUUUUGACUUGGUGAACUUGCAAGUACUAAGAUAUUAUUAACAUGAUACAUUAGUUUAGGAUGGCUGAUGUUGUGCUUGUUGUAUUGUGCUAUACUUCUAUUGUUUCUUUUUCCAUGGUUACAACCUCAAAUUUUAAGAUGUACGAACCCUCUGUUCACAUUCUUAUGCUUUGAUAUUUUCAUUAAUACAUGCCUGUUGCUAUGGUUUUCCAACUUUUUCCCUUUAUACUUCACUCAGUCUAAGAAAAUGCAAGCAUAUAUAGCCUUAAGGGUAAAAUUUAGUUGUUCCAACUGAUUAUUAGCCAUCCCUAUAUUUCUAUUCUCUAUUAUUGUUUAAGAGAUUUUUGUAUGCAUUUUGGUGCUUGACCUUGUGGAGAAGAGUGAUAAAUUUUCUUGGAGAUACGAUGAGUUCUUAUAUAUUAUUCAUAAAAAGGUUGAAUUGGAGAGUGGAAAUGAAAUCCUUACUCAAAAUGAACUGAAGCAACUAUUUCACAUUGUGAAUAGAACUGCUAGUUUAGGUAUUAUCAAAUAUAAGAGGAAACUGUGCUUGGUUUUGCAUAAGAAAAUGGUAAAACUUGGGGAAGUCCUUUAGAUCUGCUGUUCUUGUGAGUGGCCAAGUAGGUGCAUUAUAAGAAAUGUGUUUCUUUGUGGCUAGCAAGUCCUUGAAGAAUCCUAAAUUAAUUGCAGAAUGAUAGGAUCAGUUAGAAAAUCAUCAUUCUUGGAUGAUUCAUUACUUGUUUUGGACUUAGUCUCUUACUGCAGAAAGGGCAUAUGUUGGUCUUUGAUCAAUAAGCAUUUGCUUGGAGAAUAUCCAUUUUGUUGAAACAUGUUAUGGGGUUUAUCUUAGAAGGAAAGUGAUGUUUCAACGUGUUCAUGGUAUGCUCCUUGCAACUUCUGUAAUGCCCUCUUUGGAUAGGGUGAUUUGGACGUAAGGAUUUGGAUUUGGACUUUCCAAAUACAAAUAACUCCGAUUGACAAACCUUUUUAAUUGAGAAUUUGGAUUUGAGUAAAUCACCCCUCAGAUUUGGUAAACAAUUGUGCCACCUAGUUAUUUCACAUCUCAGCUUCUUCUCUUUCCCGAACAGAGAAGCUCGGUCUCGUUCCACAUCUUCUCUCAAUGCAUUGCACAGCUUCGGCAAACAUCUCUGCACCGAUUCGUGAAGGAGGUCUCUCACUCUUCUCACAAUUAAAUCAGUGGGUAACCGGAUUAUCCGGAAGAGGAUCCAUGGGCAUGUAGAGCACGGGCAGCCAUCAAGGUGCACUGAGGAGUUCCGCUUGAGGAAGGUGAAGAACGAUCAGCUGAAGGCAGAGGCCAAGGCUAAGCGUGAGGUCAUCAACACCAAGAGACAGCCAAAGGGUCCCAAGCCUGGUUUCAUGGUUGAAAGGUGCAGUGCAUGAGCUUACCUGAGCCAUGAGAAUGAAAAGACAUCUUUUGAUCUUCAAAUUUGGUCUUUGACAAGACAGCAAGCAGAAGCAGAUUGCAAUAGUCUUCAGAAGGAGAAGAAGAGAGAGAAGAGUGCAGCGGAGGAGGGAGAGCUGUUUCCGCCGUGCCCAGAAUAGCCCAAUAGAAAUCGGAGAAGCUGAUCCAGGAAUUGUACAUCAGUGUAACUUUGGGUUAGGGUAACAGAGCGAAGAGGAAUACCAGGAGCUUAGUUCGUAGAAGAUGUGCAGUCCUUCCAACCUUCCCCGGGUAGUGAUCGAUUACCAUACACACCUAUCGGCUUGAUGUCCUUUUUUUUUUUUUUUUUUAGUCUUUGUCUUGAUUUUAGUAAUUAGUUCUGCACAUACCUGGGAUUUGAGUGAAGUAACAGAGGACGGACUGUAUUGUGGCCACUGAGCUUGCGAAGCCCCUCACUGCUUACUGCAUGCAAUGACAGAAACGAGUUUGGAGUAGAAUCUCAGCCAAAAGAGGCUGAGGAAAGUGUGAGCUCCAUGUUGUGACAAAGCUAAUGUCAAAAAAGGACAGUGGUCUCCUGAGGAAGAUAAAGCUAAGUCUUGGGACUCAUGGAACUGGUGGCAAUUGGAUUCAUCUGCCACAAAAAGCUGGCUUUUAGAUUCUUCAACAAGAAUCAAGUUGACCACAUUAAGGGUGAUCAGAACACGUGGUUUUCUAAUAAAGAAGCCAAGCUGCCGAAAUUGCAGAAAGUCACCCCUCAAUUUGGAACUUUGUUUCUUCCAUGACUUGGCAUCUGAGUAAUCGACUGCAAUACUUUGAAGAAAAGUCAGUUUAUCAACACGCACGCACUACUAGCUAACAAAUGUACUACUACUUCUUACUGUACCAAAGUGCUUUAAACUUCAAGCAGUUUUGUUUUUCAUCUGAUGGUAAGCUUAGAAAAAUAAUUCGUUUGCAACAACAUAUAAUGCAUAAGCUUUUGACAGAAAAUGAAAAUUC
Long non-coding RNA from Rosa chinensis, 2464 nucleotides. RefSeq lists it as uncharacterized. The record is from RefSeq and is a predicted model, not a curated record. Lineage: Eukaryota; Viridiplantae; Streptophyta; Magnoliopsida; Rosales; Rosaceae. The transcript has 9 exons.